UUUAUGGAGAGUUUGAUCCUGGCUCAGAGUGAACGCUGGCGGCGUGCCUAAUACAUGCAAGUCGAACGAUGAAAUUUCUAGCUUGCUAGAAAUGGAUUAGUGGCGCACGGGUGAGUAAUGCAUAGGUUAUGUGCCUCUUAGUUUGGGAUAGCCAUUGGAAACGAUGAUUAAUACCAGAUACUCCCUACGGGGGAAAGAUUUAUCGCUAAGAGAUCAGCCUAUGUCCUAUCAGCUUGUUGGUAAGGUAAUGGCUUACCAAGGCUAUGACGGGUAUCCGGCCUGAGAGGGUGAACGGACACACUGGAACUGAGACACGGUCCAGACUCCUACGGGAGGCAGCAGUAGGGAAUAUUGCUCAAUGGGGGAAACCCUGAAGCAGCAACGCCGCGUGGAGGAUGAAGGUUUUAGGAUUGUAAACUCCUUUUGUUAGAGAAGAUAAUGACGGUAUCUGACGAAUAAGCACCGGCUAACUCCGUGCCAGCAGCCGCGGUAAUACGGAGGGUGCAAGCGUUACUCGGAAUCACUGGGCGUAAAGAGCGCGUAGGCGGGAUAGUCAGUCAGGUGUGAAAUCCUAUGGCUUAACCAUAGAACUGCAUUUGAAACUACUAUUCUAGAGUGUGGGAGAGGUAGGUGGAAUUCUUGGUGUAGGGGUAAAAUCCGUAGAGAUCAAGAGGAAUACUCAUUGCGAAGGCGACCUGCUGGAACAUUACUGACGCUGAUUGCGCGAAAGCGUGGGGAGCAAACAGGAUUAGAUACCCUGGUAGUCCACGCCCUAAACGAUGGAUGCUAGUUGUUGGAGGGCUUAGUCUCUCCAGUAAUGCAGCUAACGCAUUAAGCAUCCCGCCUGGGGAGUACGGUCGCAAGAUUAAAACUCAAAGGAAUAGACGGGGACCCGCACAAGCGGUGGAGCAUGUGGUUUAAUUCGAAGAUACACGAAGAACCUUACCUAGGCUUGACAUUGAGAGAAUCCGCUAGAAAUAGUGGAGUGUCUAGCUUGCUAGACCUUGAAAACAGGUGCUGCACGGCUGUCGUCAGCUCGUGUCGUGAGAUGUUGGGUUAAGUCCCGCAACGAGCGCAACCCCCUUUCUUAGUUGCUAACAGGUCAUGCUGAGAACUCUAAGGAUACUGCCUCCGUAAGGAGGAGGAAGGUGGGGACGACGUCAAGUCAUCAUGGCCCUUACGCCUAGGGCUACACACGUGCUACAAUGGGGUGCACAAAGAGAAGCAAUACUGCGAAGUGGAGCCAAUCUUCAAAACACCUCUCAGUUCGGAUUGUAGGCUGCAACUCGCCUGCAUGAAGCUGGAAUCGCUAGUAAUCGCAAAUCAGCCAUGUUGCGGUGAAUACGUUCCCGGGUCUUGUACUCACCGCCCGUCACACCAUGGGAGUUGUGUUUGCCUUAAGUCAGGAUGCUAAACCAGCUACUGCCCACGGCACACACAGCGACUGGGGUGAAGUCGUAACAAGGUAACCGUAGGUGAACCUGCGGUUGGAUCACCUCCUUU
Molecule: ribosomal RNA, 1503 nt
Filed under: Helicobacter pylori SouthAfrica20
Lineage: Bacteria; Pseudomonadati; Campylobacterota; Epsilonproteobacteria; Campylobacterales; Helicobacteraceae
Description: 16S ribosomal RNA
Rfam family: Bacterial small subunit ribosomal RNA
Source: RNAcentral